UUCCGGUUGAUCCCGCCGGAGGCUACCGCUAUUGGAGUCCGAUUAAGACAUGCGAGUCGAGAGCUUUCGGAGCUCGGCAUACUGCUCAGUAACACGUGGGUAACCUGCCCUGUGCUGGGGGAUAACCUCGGGAAACUGAGAACAAUACCCCAUAGUCCACUACGCCUGGAACGGUGAGUGGAUGAAAGCCCCGGCGGCACAGGAUGGGCCUGCGGCGUAUCAGGUAGUAGGGGGUGUAAAGUACCCUCUAGCCUUCGACGCGUACGGGUUGUGAGAGCAAUAGCCCGGAGAUGGAUUCUGAGACAAGAAUCCAGGUCCUACGGGACGCAGCAGUCGCGAAACCUUGACAAUGCGGGAAACCGUGAUCAGGGGACUCCAAGUGCCAGGAGUAAGAUCCUGUGCUUUUCUUUUCUCUUCAAAGGAUUUGGAAUAAGAGGUGGGUAAGGACGGUGCCAGCCGCCGCGGUAAUACCGGCGCCUCGAGUGGUAGUCGAUUUUAUUGGGCCUAAAACGUCCGUCGCCGGUCUGGUGCAUUCGUGGGUAAAUCAACCCGCUCAACGGGUUGAAUUCUGCGAGCACGGCCAGACUAGGGACCGGGAGAGGUGUGGGGUACUCUCAGGGUAGGGGUAAAAUCCUGUCAUCCCGAGCGGACCACCUGUUGCGAAGGCUCCACACUAGAACGGAUCCGACGGUCAGGGACGAAGCCUAGGGGCACGAACCGGAUUAGAUACCCGGGUAGUCCUAGGUGUAAACGCUGUGGACUUGGUGUUGGGAGCUCCCAGAGGGCUCUCAGUGCCGUAGCGAAGGUGAUAAGUCCACUGCCUGGGGAGUACGGUCGCAAGGCUGAAACUUAAAGGAAUUGGCGGGGGAACACCGCAACCUGAGGAUUGUGCGGUUUAAUUGGAUUCAACGCCGGG
This 916-nucleotide ribosomal RNA is filed under the name uncultured archaeon. Its description in RNAcentral is "bacterial SSU rRNA". It matches the Rfam family "Archaeal small subunit ribosomal RNA", at positions 1 to 922 of the family's 1478-position model. The record is from RNAcentral.